This 1472-nucleotide long non-coding RNA is filed under the name Oryctolagus cuniculus (rabbit). RNAcentral describes it as "lncRNA (ENSOCUG00000038897.1)". Lineage: Eukaryota; Metazoa; Chordata; Mammalia; Lagomorpha; Leporidae. The record is from RNAcentral.
GGGGAGCAAGUGCACAGUGACUCCUGUUGUUGAUUUAACAAUUGACACUCUUAUUUAUGACAUCAUUCUAAGGAAGGAGCCACUUCUGAGUUUACUAGUGUGGUGUCUGGCCAGCCUCAGAUCCUCAUGGGUGACCGUGAGACAUCACCACCUGGAGACAGGUGAUGCUCCAGGUCAUCCCGGCACCUUCCCAGCUACUGUCAUCACUUGGCCAUCCACGGGGAUCUGCCUGGCCUGGGGCUGCGAAUCUCCAGAAUUAGAACAAGGCAUUUGGACAGCGUGGAAAGGUCCCUGGGAGAGCCAAUCAGAAUUUACAGGGGCCAAUUCAAAUGGAAAAGACAUGGCCAAGUCAGGAAUUAUUGCGCUAAGAGGUUUACUGCAGUGUAGAGGAGGUGAAAAUGGUACCUGCAACAUUUCACUCCAUGAAAACACCACAACCACCAUCGAAGGAAGAGUAAAGUUUUGUGCCUGAAGAACGCAGUCACGAUACAUUGCUUUGGAAAUGAGGAUCCACUUGACAUCCACAGAAAUCUGAAGCUUACUUCUCUUUCCCUCCCUACUGGACUACUUGAGGAUACUACCAGUGGUUAUUAUGUCAUACGUCCACUCAAAUACUGUUUUAUAUAAAUACAGUUGGGCUGCAAGAUGGACUCCAUGAUCUGCUGCACCCAUCCCAUUGAUGAAGUCUGUUGUUUGAAUCAGAGAAACGCCGAACACAGGGACAGCUUUUGUCUUCAAUUUCUAACCCAUAUAAACCUUUCAAGAGGUUCUGCUACAGAUAAAAAUGUUAUACUUUUCUGGUUUCAUAGCUUGGAAUUAGUAAAUAAUGUUUUCACUUGAUUAAAAUGUAAAGCCAAUUAAUAGAAGAUAGUUACUAUGAAAUUAGUCAGAUUUCAUAAUUUGAAAGAAAUCUGUAUGUGUGAUAGCAUGAUUAAUUAUUUAUGAAGAAUUUUCUUUGUGACUAAAGAGAUACCUGUAAAUGGGUUUCUAAAAAUGAGAUUCAGUAAUUAUCACUUAAACAACUCAUUACCUAUUUCAGAAUUCUACCAGUCAAGUUCUUUAUCAUUCCUAAAUUGGAAUUAGAAAGGGGUGAAGAGAAACUGAAAUCAUUAUCCAUUUCAUAAUAGUGGCAGCCUACCUUCCAUCAGUUUUCCAAAGGUAUGAGAGAGUAAUGAUGGAGGUUGUUUUUGCUUUUGAAAAAAAAAAAAAAAAAAAAGGCUUCAUUUAAAUUACCUAAGUUGGUACCAUUUUUUAGAAUUCUAUUUUUGUCUUUCCCGCCCUGCUACCACCUCAUUGUUUUACAAGUAAUGAUAAAUGUGAUAAUGAGUAAUGACAUCUAUUCAUGGAAAAUGUGAAAAGUCUGAAGGUACCUUUACUUUUCAUUAGGAAAAUGUGUCCCUAGCGGAGUCAGGCACCUCAGCUUCAUCAGCCCAGCUCCAAUUCUGUAAAAGAAAUGAAUUUUCUUUAAAUUU